GGGCCGGUAGCUCAGUGGUUAGAGCUGGGGACUCAUAAUCCCUAGGUCGUGGGUUCAAGUCCCGCCCGGCCCACCA
Molecule: transfer RNA, 76 nt
Filed under: bacterium
Lineage: Bacteria
Description: tRNA-Ile
Rfam family: tRNA
About the family: Transfer RNA (tRNA) molecules are approximately 80 nucleotides in length. Their secondary structure includes four short double-helical elements and three loops (D, anti-codon, and T loops). Further hydrogen bonds mediate the characteristic L-shaped molecular structure. tRNAs have two regions of fundamental functional importance: the anti-codon, which is responsible for specific mRNA codon recognition, and the 3' end, to which the tRNAs corresponding amino acid is attached (by aminoacyl-tRNA synthetases). tRNAs cope with the degeneracy of the genetic code in two manners: having more than one tRNA (with a specific anti-codon) for a particular amino acid; and 'wobble' base-pairing, i.e. permitting non-standard base-pairing at the 3rd anti-codon position.
Source: RNAcentral